UACGUAGGGGGCGAGCGUUGUCCGGAUUUACUGGGCGUAAAGCGCACGCAGGCGGUUUCGUACGUCUGGCGUGACAGUUCCCGGCUCAACUGGGAAAGGUCUUCGGAAACGGCGAGACUUGAGGGCUUCAGAGGGACACGGAAUUCCGGGUGGAGUGGUGAAAUGCGUAGAGAUCCGGAGGAACACCAAUGGCGAAGGCAGUGUCCUGGGAAGCAUCUGACGCUCAGGUGCGAAAGCUAGGGGAGCGAACAGG
This 253-nucleotide ribosomal RNA is filed under the name uncultured bacterium. RNAcentral's name for it is "partial 16S ribosomal RNA". It matches the Rfam family "Bacterial small subunit ribosomal RNA", at positions 524 to 776 of the family's 1533-position model. The record is from RNAcentral.